Molecule: long non-coding RNA, 227 nt
Filed under: Homo sapiens (human)
Lineage: Eukaryota; Metazoa; Chordata; Mammalia; Primates; Hominidae
Description: HSALNT0058909
Source: RNAcentral
AAGAACGAGUGGGGUGAAUUCAACUAUCAAAAUUGUAAACAUGAACAAGAGUCCAGGAAUCUUAUAUUUCAUCCGGAUACAUGAAAGUAGAUUUCAAGAGUUGGUCAUUCACUUGCACUGCUUCUACUCAGAAAGCAAAAGAACGGCUUCUAAAAAGAAAACACAAGCCUAACACUUCGACAGAGGGGUGAGAGGGAAAAAGCAAGCCACAUGAGUCUGACGAACGG